AACGAACGCUGGCGGCAUGCCUAACACAUGCAAGUCGAACGAGACCUUCGGGUCUAGUGGCGCACGGGUGCGUAACGCGUGGGAACCUGCCUUUAGGUUCGGAAUAACUCAGAGAAAUUUGAGCUAAUACCGGAUAAUGUCUUCGGACCAAAGAUUUAUCGCCUUUAGAUGGGCCCGCGUAAGAUUAGCUAGUUGGUGGGGUAAAGCCUACCAAGGCGACGAUCUUUAGCUGGUCUGAGAGGAUGAUCAGCCACACUGGGACUGAGACACGGCCCAGACUCCUACGGGAGGCAGCAGUUGGGAAUCUUGGACAAUGGGGGAAACCCUGAUCCAGCCAUGCCGCGUGAGUGAUGAAGGCCUUCGGGUUGUAAAACUCUUUCGCGCACGACGAUAAUGACGGUAGUGCGAGAAGAAGCUCCGGCUAACUUCGUGCCAGCAGCCGCGGUAAU
RNAcentral lists this ribosomal RNA (449 nucleotides) under uncultured bacterium. RNAcentral's name for it is "bacterial SSU rRNA". It matches the Rfam family "Bacterial small subunit ribosomal RNA", at positions 29 to 524 of the family's 1533-position model. The record is from RNAcentral.